UGGGGAAUCUUGCGCAAUGGGCGAAAGCCUGACGCAGCCAUGCCGCGUGGAUGAUGAAGGUCUUAGGAUUGUAAAAUCCUUUCACCGGGGACGAUAAUGACGGUACCCGGAGAAGAAGCCCCGGCUAACUUCGUGCCAGCAGCCGCGGUAAUACGAAGGGGGCUAGCGUUGCUCGGAAUUACUGGGCGUAAAGGGCGCGUAGGCGGACAGUUAAGUUGGGGGUGAAAGCCCGGGGCUCAACCUCGGAAUUGCCUUCAAUACUGGCUGUCUUGAGUACGGGAGAGGUGAGUGGAACUCCGAGUGUAGAGGUGAAAUUCGUAGAUAUUCGGAAGAACACCAGUGGAGAAGGCGACUCACUGGCCCGUUACUGACGCUGAGGCGCGAAAGCGUGGGGAGCAAACA
RNAcentral lists this ribosomal RNA (402 nucleotides) under uncultured bacterium. RNAcentral's name for it is "partial 16S ribosomal RNA". It matches the Rfam family "Bacterial small subunit ribosomal RNA", at positions 355 to 774 of the family's 1533-position model. The record is from RNAcentral.